RNAcentral lists this ribosomal RNA (434 nucleotides) under uncultured Roseburia sp. RNAcentral describes it as "partial 16S ribosomal RNA". It matches the Rfam family "Bacterial small subunit ribosomal RNA", at positions 341 to 792 of the family's 1533-position model. Lineage: Bacteria; Bacillati; Bacillota; Clostridia; Lachnospirales; Lachnospiraceae. The record is from RNAcentral.
ACGGAAGGCAGCAGUGGGGAAUAUUGCACAAUGGGCGAAAGCCUGAUGCAGCGACGCCGCGUGAGUGAUGAAGUAUUUCGGUAUGUAAAGCUCUAUCAGCAGGGAAGAUAAUGACGGUACCUGACUAGGAAGCACCGGCUAAAUACGUGCCAGCAGCCGCGGUAAUACGUAUGGUGCAAGCGUUAUCCGGAUUUACUGGGUGUAAAGGGAGCGCAGGCGGUACGGCAAGUCUGAUGUGAAAGCCCGGGGCUCAACCCCGGUACUGCAUUGGAAACUGUCGAACUAGAGUGUCGGAGGGGUAAGUGGAAUUCCUAGUGUAGCGGUGAAAUGCGUAGAUAUUAGGAGGAACACCAGUGGCGAAGGCGACUUACUGGACGAUAACUGACGCUGAGGCUCGAAAGCGUGGGGAGCAAACAGGAUUAGAUACCCUGGUA